Molecule: ribosomal RNA, 717 nt
Filed under: uncultured bacterium
Lineage: Bacteria
Description: bacterial SSU rRNA
Rfam family: Bacterial small subunit ribosomal RNA
Source: RNAcentral
AGAGUUUGAUCAUGGCUCAGAUUGAACGCUGGCGGCAUGCCUAACACAUGCAAGUCGAACGGUAACAGGCCUUCGGGCGCUGACGAGUGGCGGACGGGUGAGUAGUACGUAGGAAUCUGCCCAGUAGCGGGGGACAACCUGGGGAAACUCAGGCUAAUACCGCAUACGCCCUAUGGGGGAAAGCAGGGGAUCUUCGGACCUUGCACUAUUGGAUGAGCCUACGUCGGAUUAGCUUGUUGGUAGGGUAACGGCCUACCAAGGCGACGAUCCGUAGCUGGUCUGAGAGGACGAUCAGCCACACCGGAACUGAGACACGGUCCGGACUCCUACGGGAGGCAGCAGUGGGGAAUAUUGGACAAUGGGGGCAACCCUGAUCCAGCAAUGCCGCGUGUGUGAAGAAGGCCUGCGGGUUGUAAAGCACUUUCGGUAGGGACGAAAAGCGUAGGGCUAAUAUCCCUGCGUCUUGACUUAACCUAAAGAAGAAGCACCGGCUAACUCCGUGCCAGCAGCCGCGGUAAUACGGAGGGUGCGAGCGUUAAUCGGAAUUACUGGGCGUAAAGCGCGCGUAGGCGGUUACGUAAGUCGGAUGUGAAAGCCCCGGGCUUAACCUGGGAAUUGCAUUCGAUACUGCGUGGCUAGAGUCUGGUAGAGGCUAGUGGAAUUCCAGGUGUAGCGGUGAAAUGCGUAGAUAUCUGGAGGAACAUCAGUGGCGAAGGC